GAUGAACGCUGGCGGCGUGCCUAAUACAUGCAAGUCGAGCGAACAGAUCAGGAGCUUGCUCCUUUGACGUUAGCGGCGGACGGGUGAGUAACACGUCGGUAACCUACCUAUAAGACUGGGUAAGUUCUGGCAAACGGGGCCUAUGCCGGAAAACAUUUUGGAACGCCUGGUUCCAAACGGUAAAUUGGUUUUUUUUUCACUUAAUGGUGGACCCGCCCCGUAAUAGCUAGUUGGUAAGGUAACGGCUUACCAAAGCCACGAUACGUAACCGACCCCAGAGGGUGAUCCGACACAUGGGAAGUGAGACACGGUCCAGACUCCGACGGGGGGCAGCAGUAGGGAAUCUUACGCGAUGGGCGAAAGCCUGACGGAACAACGCCGGGUGAGUGAUGAAGGGGUUCGGCUCGUAGAACUAUGUUGUUAGGGAAGAACAAAUGUGUAAGUAACUGUGAACAUCAUGACGGUACCUAAUGAGAAAGCCACGGCUAACUACGUG
Molecule: ribosomal RNA, 496 nt
Filed under: uncultured bacterium
Lineage: Bacteria
Description: partial 16S ribosomal RNA
Rfam family: Bacterial small subunit ribosomal RNA
Source: RNAcentral